CAGGGAGACAACAAAAUGUUUAAUAUUAUUAUUUUGUCACCUUAGGUCGAUCGGUAUCUCACGUUCUUAAUUUUUUAAGAAUUUCAUUUCCUAAGUUUUUCUAGGUCACACCCAUUAUUUUCCUGGGCCAUUAGCUCAGGUGGUUAGAGCGCACCCCUGAUAAGGGUGAGGUCCCUGGUUCAAGUCCAGGAUGGCCCAUAUCUCUAUGUUGGGGGUAUAGCUCAGUUGGUAGAGCGCCUGCUUUGCAAGCAGGAUGUCAGCGGUUCGAGUCCGCUUACCUCCACUGAUUACCACCUCUUACAUAAAUGUAGAAAGGAAAUUUUUGAGUUGUGAUCAUCAUUCUGAACGAAUCUAGCUUCCUAAUGAAACCAUUAAGAUGCUGGACUCAUUGAAUUAAUUUCAUUGUUUUCAGAGAACCUUGACAACUGCAUAGAUUAUUUUUUUAAAGACAAUAAGCAUCUUUUAUGAUGCAGAUUUAUUAUUGGUGCGAAUGCAUUAAUAACAAUUCUAUUAAGCUGAUGCUUCAA
Molecule: transfer RNA, 527 nt
Filed under: uncultured Prochlorococcus sp.
Lineage: Bacteria; Bacillati; Cyanobacteriota; Cyanophyceae; Synechococcales; Prochlorococcaceae
Description: partial 16S-23S ribosomal RNA intergenic spacer
Rfam family: tRNA (bases 211-283)
Source: RNAcentral